GACCAAGGGAUAGCUCAGUUAGUAGAGCAUGAGACUCUGAAUCUCAGGGUUGUGGGUUGGAGCCCCAUGUUGGGCA
Molecule: non-coding RNA, 76 nt
Organism: Podarcis lilfordi (Lilford's wall lizard)
Lineage: Eukaryota; Metazoa; Chordata; Lepidosauria; Squamata; Lacertidae
Source: the annotation of a GenBank genome assembly